Molecule: ribosomal RNA, 447 nt
Filed under: uncultured bacterium
Lineage: Bacteria
Description: partial 16S ribosomal RNA
Rfam family: Bacterial small subunit ribosomal RNA
Source: RNAcentral
AGCGAACGCUGGCGGCAGGCCUAAUACAUGCAAGUCGAACGGCUCUUCGGAGCAGUGGCGGACGGGUGAGUAACGCGUGGGAACGUGCCCUUUGGUUCGGAACAACACAGGGAAACGUGUGCUAAGACCGAAUGUGCCCUUGGGGGGAAAGGUUUAUCGCCCGUGGAGCGGCCUGCGUUGGAUUCGCUAGUUGGUGGGGUAAUGGCCCACCCAGGCUAAGAUCCAUAGCUGGUCUGAGAGGAUGAUCAGCCACACUGGGACUGAGACACGGCCCCGACUCCUACGGGAGGCAGCAGUAGGGAAUCUUGCGCAAUGGGCGAAAGCCUGACGCAGCCAUGCCGCGUGAAUGAUGAAGGUCUUAGGAUUGUAAAAUUCUUUCACCGGGGAAGAUAAUGACGGUACCCGGAGAAGAAGCCCCGGCUAACUUCGUGCCAGCAGCCGCCGUAA